GACGAACGCUGGCGGCGUGCUUAACACAUGCAAGUCGAACGGAAGGGCCCUGCUUUUGUGGGGUGCUCGAGUGGCGAACGGGUGAGUAACACGUGAGUAACCUGCCCUUGACUUUGGGAUAACUUCAGGAAACUGGGGCUAAUACCGGAUAGGAGCUCCUGCUGCAUGGUGGGGGUUGGAAAGUUUCGGCGGUUGGGGAUGGACUCGCGGCUUAUCAGCUUGUUGGUGGGGUAGUGGCUUACCAAGGCUUUGACGGGUAGCCGGCCUGAGAGGGUGACCGGCGACAUUGGGACUGAGAUACGGCCCAGACGCCUACGGGAGGCAGCAGUGGGGAGUAUUGCACAAUGGGCGGAAGCCUGAUGCAGCAACGCCGCGUGCGGGAUGACGGCCUUCGGGUUGUAAACCGCUUUCGCCUGUGACGAAGCGUGAGUGACGGUAAUGGGUAAAGAAGCACCGGCUAACUACGUG
Molecule: ribosomal RNA, 468 nt
Filed under: uncultured bacterium
Lineage: Bacteria
Description: partial 16S ribosomal RNA
Rfam family: Bacterial small subunit ribosomal RNA
Source: RNAcentral